RNAcentral lists this ribosomal RNA (436 nucleotides) under uncultured bacterium. Its description in RNAcentral is "bacterial SSU rRNA". It matches the Rfam family "Bacterial small subunit ribosomal RNA", at positions 355 to 786 of the family's 1533-position model. The record is from RNAcentral.
UGAGGAAUAUUGGUCAAUGGGCGGGAGCCUGAACCAGCCAAGCCGCGUGAGGGAGGAAGGCCCUAUGGGUCGUAAACCUCUUUUGUCAGGGAACAAAAGCGAGUAUGUAUACUAGUCUGAGUGUACCUGAAGAAAAAGCAUCGGCUAACUCCGUGCCAGCAGCCGCGGUAAUACGGAGGAUGCGAGCGUUAUCCGGAUUUAUUGGGUUUAAAGGGUGCGUAGGCGGCGGUGCAAGUCAGCGGUAAAAGCCCGGGGCUCAACCCCGGCGAGCCGUUGAAACUGCAAGUGCUAGAGAAGGCGAGAGGUACGCGGAAUGCGCAGUGUAGCGGUGAAAAUGCUUAGAUAUUGCGCAGAACUCCGAUUGCGAAGGCAGCGUACUGGCGCCUGACUGACGCUGAGGCACGAAAAGCGUGGGGAUCGAACAGGAUUAGAUACC